AUCCAGAUGACGAGUUCCAAAUAGGCCGAAACGCGUGUCCUAGAU
RNAcentral lists this non-coding RNA (45 nucleotides) under Schistosoma curassoni. The record is from RNAcentral. Lineage: Eukaryota; Metazoa; Platyhelminthes; Trematoda; Strigeidida; Schistosomatidae.